AAAUUGAAGAGUUUGAUCAUGGCUCAGAUUGAACGCUGGCGGCAGGCCUAACACAUGCAAGUCGAACGGUAACAGGAAGCAGCUUGCUGCUUUGCUGACGAGUGGCGGACGGGUGAGUAAUGUCUGGGAAACUGCCUGAUGGAGGGGGAUAACUACUGGAAACGGUGGCUAAUACCGCAUAACGUCGCAAGACCAAAGAGGGGGACCUUCGGGCCUCUUGCCAUCAGAUGUGCCCAGAUGGGAUUAGCUUGUUGGUGAGGUAACGGCUCACCAAGGCGACGAUCCCUAGCUGGUCUGAGAGGAUGACCAGCCACACUGGAACUGAGACACGGUCCAGACUCCUACGGGAGGCAGCAGUGGGGAAUAUUGCACAAUGGGCGCAAGCCUGAUGCAGCCAUGCCGCGUGUAUGAAGAAGGCCUUCGGGUUGUAAAGUACUUUCAGCGGGGAGGAAGGUGUUGUGGUUAAUAACCACAGCAAUUGACGUUACCCGCAGAAGAAGCACCGGCUAACUCCGUGCCAGCAGCCGCGGUAAUACGGAGGGUGCAAGCGUUAAUCGGAAUUACUGGGCGUAAAGCGCACGCAGGCGGUCUGUCAAGUCGGAUGUGAAAUCCCCGGGCUCAACCUGGGAACUGCAUUCGAAACUGGCAGGCUUGAGUCUUGUAGAGGGGGGUAGAAUUCUAGGUGUAGCGGUGAAAUGCGUAGAGAUCUGGAGGAAUACCGGUGGCGAAGGCGGCCCCCUGGACAAAGACUGACGCUCAGGUGCGAAAGCGUGGGGAGCAAACAGGAUUAGAUACCCUGGUAGUCCACGCCGUAAACGAUGUCUACUUGGAGGUUGUGCCCUUGAGGCGUGGCUUCCGGAGCUAACGCGUUAAGUAGACCGCCUGGGGAGUACGGCCGCAAGGUUAAAACUCAAAUGAAUUGACGGGGGCCCGCACAAGCGGUGGAGCAUGUGGUUUAAUUCGAUGCAACGCGAAGAACCUUACCUGGUCUUGACAUCCACAGAACUUUCCAGAGAUGGACUGGUGCCUUCGGGAACUGUGAGACAGGUGCUGCAUGGCUGUCGUCAGCUCGUGUUGUGAAAUGUUGGGUUAAGUCCCGCAACGAGCGCAACCCUUAUCCUUUGUUGCCAGCGGUCCGGCCGGGAACUCAAAGGAGACUGCCAGUGAUAAACUGGAGGAAGGUGGGGAUGACGUCAAGUCAUCAUGGCCCUUACGACCAGGGCUACACACGUGCUACAAUGGCGCAUACAAAGAGAAGCGACCUCGCGAGAGCAAGCGGACCUCAUAAAGUGCGUCGUAGUCCGGAUUGGAGUCUGCAACUCGACUCCAUGAAGUCGGAAUCGCUAGUAAUCGUGGAUCAGAAUGCCACGGUGAAUACGUUCCCGGGCCUUGUACACACCGCCCGUCACACCAUGGGAGUGGGUUGCAAAAGAAGUAGGUAGCUUAACCUUCGGGAGGGCGCUUACCACUUUGUGAUUCAUGACUGGGGUGAAGUCGUAACAAGGUAACCGUAGGGGAACCUGCGGUUGGAUCACCUCCUUACCUUAAAGAAGC
Molecule: ribosomal RNA, 1554 nt
Filed under: Salmonella enterica subsp. enterica serovar Agona
Lineage: Bacteria; Pseudomonadati; Pseudomonadota; Gammaproteobacteria; Enterobacterales; Enterobacteriaceae
Description: bacterial SSU rRNA
Rfam family: Bacterial small subunit ribosomal RNA
Source: RNAcentral